UCUACCCAUAACAUCCCCGCGCCACUCGACGAAGCUUCUCGUCUUUUCCUUCCGUCCGCGUCCUCGCAGUCGUGCCCGCCGGCGUUCAUCUCCUCCCGCGGUCGACCACCCCCCAUCUCGUUCUCUUCUUCUCUCUGUUUCACUCUCCGUAAUUUCUUCAUCUCCAUCGGCAUUCAACUUGGGACCGCCUCCGAAUCUGCCAUAGUAUUUGCCGGCGCCGCUCCUUCUUCAGCCAUCGCCUUCAGAUUCGACCGCGCAUAGCCCACAGCCGCCACUAUCCCUUCUUGUGUUUAAAGUUGACCCUUAUUCUUGAUCGCCACCACUGCCUGCCCCAUCUUUUGGUAAAAACUUUUGUUCGAUUUCAGGCUCUGCUCGCCAGGCUGCUGGCUGUUUGAUGUUAUGAUCGAUUCAUUGCUAAUUUUGAGUUGUGAAAUUCCAUAGGGCCUGCUCGCCACUUCAAAUUGCAAGUGCCGUGGCGAUUUGAGUUUAGUUCAGACGAAUGUUUGAUUGAAUUAAAAUCUGCUGCUGCUGUUUGCUUAACAGGAGCUUUGGCUUUGGCCAUCAAGUGAGUGGUGGAAAUUAAGGCGAUAUCAGAUAAAAGAGGAUGAGUAAUAGCACAGCUGGACCUUCAUCAAAAGCAAAAGUUGGCCAGUCACAACCAUCAGAAGCCUCUUUGAAGCGUAAACGUGGGAUGUUUCAAAAAGAGUUGCAGCACAUGAUGUAUGGCUUUGGAGAUGAUCCAAAUCCACUUCCCGAGACUGUUUCGCUUGUUGAGGAUAUUGUUGUGGAGUAUGUCACAGAUAUGGUCCAUAAAGCUCAAGACGUUGCAACCAAAAGGGGCAAGCUAUUAACAGAGGACUUCCUCUUUCUAAUCCGAAAGGAUUUGCCGAAACUUAACCGCUGCACGGAAUUGCUCUCAAUGAAUGAAGAGCUCAAGCAAGCAAGGAAGGCAUUUGAAGUGGAUGAAGAGAAAUUAGCAUCUGCUGACUAAGAAAUGUUCUCGGUAUCUCAUUAACCUUGUGCGGCUCAUGAAUUUGGUGGCACAAAUUUGUUUGCAGCCAGUUGCUAGUUUGGAAUCAUAAAAACGCAGCAAAAUGCAAGUGCUCUUUGAACUUGAAAAGUUGAAUUUUAAGAUGAAAUAAGCCCUUCCACAAACGAUGAUCUCCAAUAAUUUGAACAAAAUUGCAGAAGAGGAAUGUAGAUAUCUAAAAUUGUUGGCAUGGGUAGAAACCAAAGUGGGAAUUUCCUGCAUGCCUAUUGUAGAAUUUCUUUGAUCUCUUUUUUUGGUCAUUUGUCAAUGAGGUAGGGAAAAGAACCUCAAAUGUGACAUAUAGAUCACCCUUCUUGUUGCUAUAAUGUAAUGCCAUGCCUUCACCUUUGAAUUUCCUCACUUGCUUUGGUACUAUGAUACCCUGAAGAUUAAUGUCAAACAUUAAUACAACUUCAUUUCCUAAAGUGAGGGAUGGAUGCAAGGAGAAAAAUAGACAUCCUUUUAGCUGUGAAUGCUAAAUGUAGUCGAGUGUUUGUUGCUAACCUUGGAGCUGAUAUCCACUGGAUGUUCAUCAAGGUGUUUAAUGCUCUUCUCAAAACAGACAAGAGCUUGAACCUGAAUGUGAA
Molecule: RNA transcript, 1617 nt
Organism: Andrographis paniculata
Lineage: Eukaryota; Viridiplantae; Streptophyta; Magnoliopsida; Lamiales; Acanthaceae
Gene name: transcription initiation factor TFIID subunit 13
Exons: 9
Source: RefSeq, a predicted model, not a curated record